Molecule: non-coding RNA, 96 nt
Organism: Acanthosepion pharaonis
Lineage: Eukaryota; Metazoa; Mollusca; Cephalopoda; Sepiida; Sepiidae
Source: the annotation of a GenBank genome assembly
UGAAACACCGGUUCACGUUCGAUCACCGAGUUUAAGCAACAUCGAGCUUAGUGAGUACCUAGAUGGGUAACUGCUUGGGGAUAACAGGUGUUGUAG